UGGGCGUUAAGUUGCAGGGUAUAGACCCGAAACCCGGUGAUCUAGCCAUGGGCAGGUUGAAGGUUGGGUAACACUAACUGGAGGACCGAACCGACUAAUGUUGAAAAAUUAGCGGAUGACCUGUGGCUGGGGGUGAAAGGCCAAUCAAACCGGGAGAUAGCUGGUUCUCCCCGAAAGCUAUUUAGGUAGCGCCUCGUGAAUUCAUCUCCGGGGGUAGAGCACUGUUUCGGCUAGGGGGCCAUCCCGGCUUACCAACCCGAUGCAAACUGCGAAUACCGGAGAAUGUUAUCACGGGAGACACACGGCGGGUGCUAACGUCCGUCGUGAAGAGGGAAACAACCCAGACCGCCAGCUAAGGUCCCAAAGUCAUGGUUAAGUGGGAAACGAUGUGGGAAGGCCCAGACAGCCAGGAUGUUGGCUUAGAAGCAGCCAUCAUUUAAAGAAAGCGUAAUAGCUCACUGGUCGAGUCGGCCUGCGCGGAAGAUGUAACGGGGCUAAACCAUGCACCGAAGCUGCGGCAGCGACGCUGAUGCGUUGUUGGGUAGGGGAGCGUUCUGUAAGCCUGCGAAGGUGGCCUGUGAGGGUUGCUGGAGGUAUCAGAAGUGCGAAUGCUGACAUAAGUAACGAUAAAGCGGGUGAAAAGCCCGCUCGCCGGAAGACCAAGGGUUCCUGUCCAACGUUAAUCGGGGCAGGGUGAGUCGACCCCUAAGGCGAGGCCGAAAGGCGUAGUCGAUGGGAAACGGGUUAAUAUUCCCGUACUUGGUGUUACUGCGAAGGGGGGACGGAGAAGGCUAUGUUGGCCGGGCGACGGUUGUCCCGGUUUAAGCGUGUAGGUGUGUGUUCCAGGUAAAUCCGGUUCACUUUAACACUGAGGCGUGAUGACGAGGCACUACGGUGCUGAAGCAACAAAUGCCCUGCUUCCAGGAAAAGCCUCUAAGCAUCAGGUAACAUCAAAUCGUACCCCAAACCGACACAGGUGGUCAGGUAGAGAAUACCAAGGCGCUUGAGAGAACUCGGGUGAAGGAACUAGGCAAAAUGGUGCCGUAACUUCGGGAGAAGGCACGCUGACACGUAGGUGAAGUGAUUUACUCAUGGAGCUGAAGUCAGUCGAAGAUACCAGCUGGCUGCAACUGUUUAUUAAAAACACAGCACUGUGCAAACACGAAAGUGGACGUAUACGGUGUGACGCCUGCCCGGUGCCGGAAGGUUAAUUGAUGGGGUCAGCGCAAGCGAAGCUCCUGAUCGAAGCCCCGGUAAACGGCGGCCGUAACUAUAACGGUCCUAAGGUAGCGAAAUUCCUUGUCGGGUAAGUUCCGACCUGCACGAAUGGCGUAAUGAUGGCCAGGCUGUCUCCACCCGAGACUCAGUGAAAUUGAACUCGCUGUGAAGAUGCAGUGUACCCGCGGCAAGACGGAAAGACCCCGUGAACCUUUACUAUAGCUUGACACUGAACAUUGAGCCUUGAUGUGUAGGAUAGGUGGGAGGCUUUGAAGUGUGGACGCCAGUCUGCAUGGAGCCGACCUUGAAAUACCACCCUUUAAUGUUUGAUGUUCUAACGUGGACCCGUGAUCCGGGUUGCGGACAGUGUCUGGUGGGUAGUUUGACUGGGGCGGUCUCCUCCUAAAGAGUAACGGAGGAGCACGAAGGUUGGCUAAUCCUGGUCGGACAUCAGGAGGUUAGUGCAAUGGCAUAAGCCAGCUUGACUGCGAGCGUGACGGCGCGAGCAGGUGCGAAAGCAGGUCAUAGUGAUCCGGUGGUUCUGAAUGGAAGGGCCAUCGCUCAACGGAUAAAAGGUACUCCGGGGAUAACAGGCUGAUACCGCCCAAGAGUUCAUAUCGACGGCGGUGUUUGGCACCUCGAUGUCGGCUCAUCACAUCCUGGGGCUGAAGUAGGUCCCAAGGGUAUGGCUGUUCGCCAUUUAAAGUGGUACGCGAGCUGGGUUUAGAACGUCGUGAGACAGUUCGGUCCCUAUCUGCCGUGGGCGCUGGAGAACUGAGGGGGGCUGCUCCUAGUACGAGAGGACCGGAGUGGACGCAUCACUGGUGUUCGGGUUGUCAUGCCAAUGGCACUGCCCGGUAGCUAAAUGCGGAAGAGAUAAGUGCUGAAAGCAUCUAAGCACGAAACUUGCCCCGA
This 2133-nucleotide ribosomal RNA is filed under the name Salmonella enterica subsp. enterica serovar Chester. RNAcentral describes it as "partial 23S ribosomal RNA". It matches the Rfam family "Bacterial large subunit ribosomal RNA", at positions 689 to 2802 of the family's 2925-position model. The record is from RNAcentral. Lineage: Bacteria; Pseudomonadati; Pseudomonadota; Gammaproteobacteria; Enterobacterales; Enterobacteriaceae.